This 253-nucleotide ribosomal RNA is filed under the name uncultured bacterium. RNAcentral describes it as "partial 16S ribosomal RNA". It matches the Rfam family "Bacterial small subunit ribosomal RNA", at positions 524 to 776 of the family's 1533-position model. The record is from RNAcentral.
UACGUAGGGGGCAAGCGUUGUCCGGAAUCAUUGGGCGUAAAGAGCGUGUAGGCGGCUCGAUAAGUCUGCUGUGAAAGUCCAGGGCUCAACCCUGGAAGGCCGGUGGAAACUGUCGGGCUAGAGUCCGGAAGAGGCGAGUGGAAUUCCCGGUGUAGCGGUGAAAUGCGUAGAUAUCAGGAGGAACACCGGUGGUGUAGACGGCUCUCUGGACCGUAACUGACGCUGAGACACGAAAGCGUGGGUAGCAAACAGG